AUUGAACGCUGGCGGCAUGCCUUACACAUGCAAGUCGAACGGCAGCACGGGUGCUUGCACCUGGUGGCGAGUGGCGAACGGGUGAGUAAUACAUCGGAACAUGUCCUGUAGUGGGGGAUAGCCCGGCGAAAGCCGGAUUAAUACCGCAUACGAUCUACGGAUGAAAGCGGGGGACCUUCGGGCCUCGCGCUAUAGGGUUGGCCGAUGGCUGAUUAGCUAGUUGGUGGGGUAAAGGCCUACCAAGGCGACGAUCAGUAGCUGGUCUGAGAGGACGACCAGCCACACUGGGACUGAGACACGGCCCAGACUCCUACGGGAGGCAGCAGUGGGGAAUUUUGGACAAUGUGCGAAAGCCUGAUCCAGCAAUGCCGCGUGUGUGAAGAAGGCCUUCGGGUUGUAAAGCACUUUUGUCCGGAAAGAAAUCCUUGGCCCUAAUACGGUCGGGGGAUGACGGUACCGGAAGAAUAAGCACCGGCUAACUACGUG
This 486-nucleotide ribosomal RNA is filed under the name uncultured bacterium. RNAcentral describes it as "partial 16S ribosomal RNA". It matches the Rfam family "Bacterial small subunit ribosomal RNA", at positions 30 to 507 of the family's 1533-position model. The record is from RNAcentral.